Molecule: ribosomal RNA, 436 nt
Filed under: uncultured bacterium
Lineage: Bacteria
Description: partial 16S ribosomal RNA
Rfam family: Bacterial small subunit ribosomal RNA
Source: RNAcentral
AACGAACGCUGGCGGCAUGCCUAACACAUGCAAGUCGAACGAGAUCCUUCGGGGUCUAGUGGCGCACGGGUGCGUAACGCGUGGGAAUCUGCCCUUAGGUUCGGAAUAACAGUUAGAAAUGACUGCUAAUACCGGAUGAUGACGUUAAGUCCAAAGAUUUAUCGCCUUAGGAUGAGCCCGCGUAGGAUUAGCUAGUUGGUGUGGUAAAGGCGCACCAAGGCGACGAUCCUUAGCUGGUCUGAGAGGAUGAUCAGCCACACUGGGACUGAGACACGGCCCAGACUCCUACGGGAGGCAGCAGUGGGGAAUAUUGGACAAUGGGCGCAAGCCUGAUCCAGCAAUGCCGCGUGAGUGAUGAAGGCCUUAGGGUUGUAAAGCUCUUUUACCCGGGAUGAUAAUGACAGUACCGGGAGAAUAAGCCCCGGCUAACUCCGUG